CAAUAUAUAAUGGCAACCCAGUAGAACUGAAAGUAGAACUAUAGGUGUAGUUAUCGUGUGAUUCAGUUCUUCUAUCGAGAGUCCCAAUAGGAUACAGGUCAUGAAAACUCAUCAAACCCUAAGCAUCCAUCAUAUGCAAGACUUAAUUAGCUUGAGUCCAAUCAUGAAUCUCAUGAGAACUUCUUUUCAUUAUCAUGCAGUUGUGGCUAUGGACUUAAGGACUUAGCCUCUUAGGUCGCAUAGGACUACUCUUUAACUACUAAGGCCAUU
RNAcentral lists this long non-coding RNA (270 nucleotides) under Elaeis guineensis (African oil palm). RNAcentral's name for it is "long non-coding RNA (EGUI_LNC047764)". Lineage: Eukaryota; Viridiplantae; Streptophyta; Magnoliopsida; Arecales; Arecaceae. The record is from RNAcentral.